CGUCAUUCCUGUAUUCGCUCGCGAAUAAUUUCAAACGCUCGCGUAUCAUUUAAUUAGCAUCAUUGUUGGUAUGCCCAACAGUUGGAAUCGUGUUCGUGCAUAUUUUUACUUAAUUAGUCACAUGGGUUAACCUGUUAUAUUGACAAUGUUUGUGUUCCCUUCAAAUGUAACAAUACACAUUAAAGUGCCAUUUUACGUCAAUCAGGCGGAAAUAUGAGGUAUAAAGUGGAUGCAAUCGACUCCGUGUUUCACAUGCCACUGUUCUCGACAAUUUAUCCUGUACUGACAAGCCCGUGUACCUGACGAGUAAAGAUGAAGACCGUUAUGUUGUUGUGUUUAUGUGCGGUGAUGAUGGCGAUGACUUGUGUUGCACAGGAAGAGACUGUUCGAGAGGGUAUAGAUAAGCUGGGAGAGGUGGUAAACGCCUGUGUCAGAGACUACUUAACACAGCUCGAAAUUCAAGAGAACCCUGUGAAAAGUAAAAAAUGUGGUGGCUCUUGGAAGGGAUUCGUGGAUUGUUAAAUAUAAAUUUUACGGCAGAUUAUACUAAUCACAAUGUUUACUACUACUAAGUUUAUGUAGAAAAGUAAAAUUAAUAGAAUCAUCAAAUUUACUUUCUUUUAUUGACAUUUGACCUAUUACUGUAGUCAACGGAUGACGUCAUUACAUAAAAAUAAGAUGGGGAAUGUGUCCACCUGGAAGCAAUGCAACGAACUUCCACAUGAUAUUAUGACUAAUAUGGUGAUACCGCAACAAAAUUACUGUAUUUCUCGGAUAAUAAUCGUAAAAAUAUCUAUAUUCCAACAGAAACAAUUUUCCCAAGGAAGAGAUCCUCUCGAGUCCCACUAUCUAUCAAUUCAUCUAUACAUCAACUACAAAGCUAUGUAAUUUACAUGUUGUUCAUAUCAGGAUUUACGUUACAUGUUAUUUCAUUAAAAUCUAGAUAUUACGAAUGA
Long non-coding RNA from Saccoglossus kowalevskii, 956 nucleotides. RefSeq lists it as uncharacterized. The record is from RefSeq and is a predicted model, not a curated record. NCBI's taxonomy places the organism in Eukaryota, Metazoa, Hemichordata, Enteropneusta, Harrimaniidae.